AGAGUUUGAUCCUGGCUCAGAUUGAACGCUGGCGGAAUGCUUUACACAUGCAAGUCGAACGGCAGCACGGAGAGCUUGCUCUCUGGUGGCGAGUGGCGAACGGGUGAGUAAUAUAUCGGAACGUGUCCAAUAAUGGGGGAUAACGAGUCGAAAGAUUCGCUAAUACCGCAUACGCCCUACGGGGGAAAGCAGGGGAUCGUAAGACCUUGCGUUAAUGGAGCGGCCGAUAUCUGAUUAGCUUGUUGGUGAGGUAAAGGCUCACCAAGGCGACGAUCAGUAGCUGGUUUGAGAGAACGACCAGCCACACUGGAACUGAGACACGGUCCAGACUCCUACGGGAGGCAGCAGUGGGGAAUUUUGGACAAUGGGGGCAACCCUGAUCCAGCCAUGCCGCGUGAGUGAAGAAGGCCUUCGGGUUGUAAAGCUCUUUCGUGGGGAACGAAACGGUUACGGCGAACACCCGUGACAACUGACGGUACCCCAAGAAGAAGCACCGGCUAACUACGUGCCAGCAGCCGCGGUAAA
This 525-nucleotide ribosomal RNA is filed under the name uncultured Herbaspirillum sp. Its description in RNAcentral is "bacterial SSU rRNA". It matches the Rfam family "Bacterial small subunit ribosomal RNA", at positions 8 to 524 of the family's 1533-position model. The record is from RNAcentral. Lineage: Bacteria; Pseudomonadati; Pseudomonadota; Betaproteobacteria; Burkholderiales; Oxalobacteraceae.